GUGGGCGUAGCUCAGCUGGUAGAGUUCCUGGUUGUGGUCCAGGCGGUCGGGGGUUCGAGUCCCCUCGCUCACC
RNAcentral lists this transfer RNA (73 nucleotides) under Actinomycetota bacterium. RNAcentral's name for it is "tRNA-His". It matches the Rfam family "tRNA". Rfam says of the family: Transfer RNA (tRNA) molecules are approximately 80 nucleotides in length. Their secondary structure includes four short double-helical elements and three loops (D, anti-codon, and T loops). Lineage: Bacteria; Bacillati; Actinomycetota. The record is from RNAcentral.